RNAcentral lists this ribosomal RNA (404 nucleotides) under uncultured bacterium. Its description in RNAcentral is "bacterial SSU rRNA". It matches the Rfam family "Bacterial small subunit ribosomal RNA", at positions 355 to 776 of the family's 1533-position model. The record is from RNAcentral.
UGGGGAAUCUUAGACAAUGGGGGAAACCCUGAUCUAGCCAUGCCGCGUGAGCGAUGAAGGCCUUAGGGUUGUAAAGCUCUUUCAGUGGGGAAGAUAAUGACGGUACCCACAGAAGAAGCCCCGGCUAACUCCGUGCCAGCAGCCGCGGUAAUACGGAGGGGGCUAGCGUUGUUCGGAAUUACUGGGCGUAAAGCGCACGUAGGCGGAUUGGAAAGUCAGAGGUGAAAUCCCGGGGCUCAACCCCGGAACUGCCUUUGAAACUUCCAGUCUUGAGGUUGGGAGAGGUGAGUGGAAUUCCGAGUGUAGAGGUGAAAUUCGUAGAUAUUCGGAGGAACACCAGUGGCGAAGGCGGCUCACUGGCCCGAUACUGACGCUGAGGUGCGAAAGCGUGGGGAGCAAACAGG